CGCUGAACUGAAACAUCUAAGUAGGCGGAGGAGAAGAAAACAAAAGUGAUUCCCAGAGUAGUGGCGAGCGAAAUGGGAGGAGCCCAAACCUGUAUUGUUUCGGCAAUGCAGGGGUUGUAGGACUGCGACAUUUGCUGUUUAUCGAAUUAGAACACCUUGGAAAAGUGUGACCAUAGAGGGUGAUAGUCCCGUAUAGGUAAGAUAAAUAAGUGAUAGCAGUAUCCUGAGUAGGGCGGGGCACGUGGAACCCUGUCUGAAACUGCCAGGACCAUCUGGUAAGGCUAAAUACUCCUGAGAGACCGAUAGUGGACUAGUACCGUGAGGGAAAGGUGAAAAGCACCGUGAAUAACGGAGUGAAAUAGACCCUGAAACCAUACGCUUACAAGCGGUCGGAGCAGCAUUAGCUGUGACGGCGUGCCUUUUGCAUAAUGAGCCUACGAGUUACUGUUACCAGCGAGGAUAAGUAUUUCAGAUACGAAUCCGCAUCGAAAGAGAGUCUGAAUAGGGCGACAAUAGUUGGUAGUAGUAGACGCGAAACCUGGUGAUCUACCCUUGGGCAGGUUGAAGCGCUGGUAACACAGCGUGGAGGACCGAACUGGUUGUCGUUGAAAAGACUUCGGAUGACCUGAGGGUAGGGGUGAAAGGCCAAUCAAACUGGGAAAUAGCUCGUACUCCCCGAAAUGCAUUUAGGUGCAGCGUUGUAAUAGAGUUUAAUAGAGGUAGAGCUACUGAUUGGAUGCGGGGGUUUCACCGCCUACCAAUUCCUGACAAACUCCGAAUGCUAUUAAAUGUUUUACAGCAGUGAGGGCUUGGGUGCUAAGGUCCAAGUCCGAGAGGGAAAGAACCCGGACCAUCAGCUAAGGUCCCCAAAUAUAUGCUAAGUUGAAAAAACGCGGUUGAACUGCAUUGACAGCUAGGAUGUUGGCUUGGAAGCAGCCAUACAUUUAAAGAGUGCGUAACAGCUCACUAGUCGAGCGGUUCGGCAUGGAGAAUAAACGGGCAUAAGCAUAUUACCGAAGCUAUGGGGUAGAGAUACCGGUAGGGGAGCAUUCUAUAGGCGUUGAAGCUAAAGGCGUGAGCCAUAGUGGAGCUUGAUAGAAAAGAAAAUGUAGGCAUAAGUAACGAUAAGGCAGGCGAGAAACCUGCCCGCCGAAAGAUCAAGGUUUCCUCAGCUAUGCUAAUCAGCUGAGGGUUAGUCGGGGACUAACGCGCACCCUUUCAGGGGAAGUGGAUGUACAACUGGUUAAUAUUCCAGUACUAGUAUUUCAAUAAAAGCGACGGAAUGAGAUAUACGCUGCGCACAGACGGAGUUGCGUUGAAGGAGCUGUUAUGGCUUUGAUAGUACACUUAGGCUACGGUCGAGGUGAUAAUGCGUAGACAACGUUUCCAAGAAAAGCGAGAGAUACUACCCGUACCGUAAACCGACACAGGUGAUUGGGAAGAGAAUUCUAAGGCGCUCGAGAGAUUCAUGGCUAAGGAACUAGGCAAAAUAGACCUGUAACUUCGGGAGAAAGGUCGCCUAUCGUAAGAUAGGCCGCAGUGAAAAGGUCCAAGCGACUGUUUAUCAAAAACACAGGACUCUGCAAAAUCGAAAGAUGAGGUAUAGGGUCUGACACCUGCCCGGUGCUGGAAGGUUAAGAGGAGGGCUUAGCGUAAGCGAAGGUCUGAAUUGAAGCCCCAGUAAACGGCGGCCGUAACUAUAACGGUCCUAAGGUAGCGAAAUUCCUUGUCGGGUAAGUUCCGACCUGCACGAAUGGUGUAACGAUUUGGACACUGUCUCGGCCAUGAGCUCGGUGAAAUUGUAGUAUCGGUGAAGAUGCCGAUUACCCGCAGUGGGACGAAAAGACCCUGUGCACCUUUACUACAUCUUCGUAUUGACCUUGGAUAAGUGAUGCGUAGGAUAGGUGGGAGACUAUGAAUGGGGCAUUCCGGUGCUUCAGGAGUCGUUGUUGAAAUACCACCCUUUGCUUAUCUGAGGCCUAACUCUCCUGUAGGGAGAGGACAAUUCGUGGAGGGUAGUUUGACUGGGGUGGUCGCCUCCAAAAGAGUAACGGAGGCUUCUAAAGGUUCCCUCAGCACGCUUGGUAACCGUGCGUAGAGUG
This 2102-nucleotide ribosomal RNA is filed under the name human metagenome. Its description in RNAcentral is "bacterial LSU rRNA". It matches the Rfam family "Bacterial large subunit ribosomal RNA", at positions 186 to 2351 of the family's 2925-position model. The record is from RNAcentral.